Molecule: non-coding RNA, 46 nt
Organism: Ailuropoda melanoleuca (giant panda)
Lineage: Eukaryota; Metazoa; Chordata; Mammalia; Carnivora; Ursidae
Source: Rfam
UCAAAGGCUCUUCUAAGAGCCACCCACUUUGUCUGUAAAGUUGCUG